Molecule: non-coding RNA, 110 nt
Organism: Ceratobasidium sp. 423
Lineage: Eukaryota; Fungi; Basidiomycota; Agaricomycetes; Cantharellales; Ceratobasidiaceae
Source: the annotation of a GenBank genome assembly
UCUUCCGUGGCGCAAUCGGUGGCGCGUCUGACUGUUAAUUACGUCAGCACCAGCUGGAAAACGUAAGCAGUAACAUCAGAAGGUCAACAGUUCGACCCUGUUCGGAAGAG